This 78-nucleotide small RNA is filed under the name Pectobacterium odoriferum. Its description in RNAcentral is "Pectobacterium carotovorum subsp. odoriferum isrK". It matches the Rfam family "isrK Hfq binding RNA". The record is from RNAcentral. Lineage: Bacteria; Pseudomonadati; Pseudomonadota; Gammaproteobacteria; Enterobacterales; Pectobacteriaceae.
GUUGCCCCUCAAUGGGCAACCGGGCAUCUCACCCCGUGCAACUCAACGGCGACACCAGACGCGCCAUGCGUCUUUUUU